This 301-nucleotide ribosomal RNA is filed under the name uncultured bacterium. Its description in RNAcentral is "partial 16S ribosomal RNA". It matches the Rfam family "Bacterial small subunit ribosomal RNA", at positions 509 to 807 of the family's 1533-position model. The record is from RNAcentral.
CAGCAGCCACGGUAAUACAGAGGGUGCGAGCGUUAAUCGGAUUUACUGGGCGUAAAGCGUGCGUAGGCGGCUUCUUAAGUCGGAUGUGAAAUCCCUGAGCUUAACUUAGGAAUUGCAUUCGAUACUGGGAAGCUAGAGUAUGGGAGAGGAUGGUAGAAUUCCAGGUGUAGCGGUGAAAUGCGUAGAGAUCGGGAGGAACAUCAGUGGCGAAGGCGGCCAUCUGGGACAACACUGACGCUGAGGCACGAAAGCGUGGGGAGCAAACAGGAUUAGAUACCCGGGUAGUCCCUGUCUCUUAUAC